GAACCUAAUUGGAGAAGAACGUGUCCAAGUCACACCGGACAAGAAGACUGGAAAUCCGGGUGGAAGAGAGUGAGAGGGAGCCGAGUGCUGGAGAUGUGCACACUGACUCUCCCACAUCAGAAGCCUAAACGUUAACAGUCAGUACUCACGACAUGCCAGGCACAAUGCUAAGAUUCUAACCAUCACCUCAUCGGAUCAAAAACUCUAGGAAAUAUGUAUUUUCCCCAACGUAAAAGCAGAUGGUCUGAUAAGAGAUUCAGACACCAGUCCAAGAGGACUCAGUUGCUGAAUGGAGAAGAAUUAUGCCUGACAACCAAGCUCCCGGUCACUGCUCCCGGUCCAUCGUUCUGGCUGAGUGUCUAGGGAAGCCCCAACGUGGCACUCAGCAUAGUCUGAGUCAGCAUGAGGCCAAGCCAAAAAGCAGGAACUUAAUGGCCUCCUGGGGAGAAGGAAG
Long non-coding RNA from Pipistrellus kuhlii (Kuhl's pipistrelle), 454 nucleotides. RefSeq lists it as uncharacterized. NCBI's taxonomy places the organism in Eukaryota, Metazoa, Chordata, Mammalia, Chiroptera, Vespertilionidae. The record is from RefSeq and is a predicted model, not a curated record. The transcript is spliced from 3 exons.